Molecule: microRNA, 21 nt
Filed under: Human betaherpesvirus 6B
Lineage: Duplodnaviria; Heunggongvirae; Peploviricota; Herviviricetes; Herpesvirales; Orthoherpesviridae
Description: hhv6b-miR-Ro6-3-5p
Gene: hhv6b-miR-Ro6-3-5p
Source: miRBase by way of RNAcentral
GACGGAGCCCGCUCGGUAUCG